GCUACGGGUAGCAGCAGUGGGGAAUAUUGCACAAUGGGGGAAACCCUGAUGCAGCGACGCCGCGUGAGUGAAGAAGUAUUUCGGUAUGUAAAGCUCUAUCAGCAGGAACGAGACAAGACGGUACCUGACUAAGAAGCCCCGGCUAACUACGUGACAGCAGCCGCGGUAAUACGUCGGGGGCAAGCGUUAUCCGGAAUCACUGGGUGUACAGGGAGCGUAGACGGCUGAGCAAGCCUGAAGUGAAAGGCGGGGGACCAACCCGUGGACUGCUUUGGGAACUGUACGGCUGUAGGGCAGGAGAGGUAAGUGGAAUUCCUAGUGUAGCGGUGAAAUGCGUAGAGAUUAGGAGGAACACCAGUGGCGAAGGCGGCUUACUGGACUGUAACUGACGUUGAGGCUCGAAAGCGUGGGGAGCAAACAGGAUUAGAUACCCCAGUAGUC
RNAcentral lists this ribosomal RNA (441 nucleotides) under uncultured bacterium. RNAcentral's name for it is "partial 16S ribosomal RNA". It matches the Rfam family "Bacterial small subunit ribosomal RNA", at positions 338 to 795 of the family's 1533-position model. The record is from RNAcentral.